UACCUAUCUGUGGUGCAGUGGUAGCGCCUAUGAUAUAUAGUAUAUCAUAUAGUCCUAGGUUCGAGUCCCGGUCGGGGUAA
Halocaridina rubra (Hawaiian volcano shrimp) is the source of this 80-nucleotide non-coding RNA. The record is from the annotation of a GenBank genome assembly. NCBI's taxonomy places the organism in Eukaryota, Metazoa, Arthropoda, Malacostraca, Decapoda, Atyidae.